CCUACGGGAGGCAGCAGUGAGGAAUAUUGGUCAAUGGCCGAGAGGCUGAACCAGCCAAGCCGCGUGAGGGAAGACGGCUCUACGGGUUGUAAACCUCUUUUGUCGGGGAGCAAAGCGAGUCACGUGUGACUCAUUGAGAGUACCCGAAGUAAAAGCAUCGGCUAACACCGUUCCAGCAGCCGCGGUAAUACGGGGGAUGCGAGCGUUGUCCGGAUUUAUUGGGUUAAAGGGGUGCGCAGGCGGGGGUGCAGGUCAGCGGUCAAAUGGCGGGGCGCAACCCCGGACUGCCGUUGAAACUGCAUCGCUUGAGUGCGCGAGAAGUAGGCGGAAUGCGUGGUGUAGCGGUGAAAUGCAUAGAUAUCACGCAGAACUCCGAUUGCGAAGGCAGCAUACCGGCGCGCAACUGACGCUGAUGCACGAAAGCGUGGGGAUCGAACAGGAUUAGAUACCCGUGUAGUC
RNAcentral lists this ribosomal RNA (459 nucleotides) under uncultured bacterium. RNAcentral describes it as "partial 16S ribosomal RNA". It matches the Rfam family "Bacterial small subunit ribosomal RNA", at positions 338 to 795 of the family's 1533-position model. The record is from RNAcentral.